Molecule: long non-coding RNA, 419 nt
Filed under: Homo sapiens (human)
Lineage: Eukaryota; Metazoa; Chordata; Mammalia; Primates; Hominidae
Description: non-protein coding lnc-DIAPH3-10:1
Source: RNAcentral
AUGUGCUUUCAAUUCUAUUACCCUAAAAAGUGGGGAAGAAAGGCUCCUCCUUACCAUUUGCAUUAUACUGUUCUUUCAUGAUAGGAUGUUGCAGCAAAGAAUCAAGAGGACGCCUUGUUGAAAGCUAAGCCUGUUGCUGGAGCAAACAGAUCUUUUGCCAGAGCAAUGACUCAACACACCACAAGGCAACUGAGUCUUGCUGCUCUCCAGAGACUGUGGUUAGAAAUACGUCACCAGCGGGAGCAUCAUUAAUCACAAAUGUAGGAGUGACAGUCAGUUUCUUGACCUCAUUGAGACAGGCAGGGAGGUCAUAGCUUCAAGCAGUUCAUUCUUCAGGCAAGGAAAACUAUUGGGAAGAUUUCCUUUUUGUUAUCGCUGGCAUUUUUAUUUAAUCCCAUCAUUUUCCCCACAGUCUGGGC